This 433-nucleotide ribosomal RNA is filed under the name uncultured bacterium. RNAcentral's name for it is "partial 16S ribosomal RNA". It matches the Rfam family "Bacterial small subunit ribosomal RNA", at positions 29 to 507 of the family's 1533-position model. The record is from RNAcentral.
AACGAACGCUGGCGGCAUGCCUAACACAUGCAAGUCGAACGAGACCUUCGGGACUAGUGGCGCACGGGUGCGUAACGCGUGGGAACCGGGCCUUAGGCUCCGAAAUAUACCCCGACAGGGGGGCUAAUACCGGGAAACGUACUCGGAUAAAAGAUUGAACGACCUUGUAAGGGCGCGCGAUGGUCUAACCUGUUGGUAGGGUAAAAGCCGACCAAGGCGUGGAUACAUAGCUGGGUUGAGAGGAAGAGAAGCCACACUGGGGCGGGGACGCGGCCCAGAAUCCUACGGGAGGCGGCAGUGGCGGAUAUUGGACUAUCGGCGAAAGCCUGAUCCAGUACUGCCGCGUGAGUGAUGAAGUCCUUAGGGUUGUAAAGCUCUUUUACCCGGGAUUAUACUGACAGUACCGGGAGAAUAAGCACCGGCUAACUCCGUG